Molecule: ribosomal RNA, 816 nt
Filed under: Arthrobacter sp. GWS-SE-H161
Lineage: Bacteria; Bacillati; Actinomycetota; Actinomycetes; Micrococcales; Micrococcaceae
Description: bacterial SSU rRNA
Rfam family: Bacterial small subunit ribosomal RNA
Source: RNAcentral
UUUGAUCAHGCUCAGGAUGAACGCUGGCGGCGUGCUUAACACAUGCAAGUCGAACGAUGAAGCCCAGCUUGCUGGGUGGAUUAGUGGCGAACGGGUGAGUAACACGUGAGUAACCUGCCCCCGACUCUGGGAUAAGCCCGGGAAACUGGGUCUAAUACCGGAUAUUACCUUUGACCGCAUGGUUGUUGGUGGAAAGAUUUAUCGGUGGGGGAUGGACUCGCGGCCUAUCAGCUUGUUGGUGAGGUAAUGGCUCACCAAGGCGACGACGGGUAGCCGGCCUGAGAGGGUGACCGGCCACACUGGGACUGAGACACGGCCCAGACUCUACGGGAGGCAGCAGUGGGGAAUAUUGCACAAUGGGCGAAAGCCUGAUGCAGCGACGCCGCGUGAGGGAUGACGGCCUUCGGGUUGUAAACCUCUUUCAGUAGGGAAGAAGCGAAAGUGACGGUACCUGCAGAAGAAGCGCCGGCUAACUACGUGCCAGCAGCCGCGGUAAUACGUAGGGCGCAAGCGUUAUCCGGGAUUUAUUGGGCGUAAAGAGCUCGUAGGCGGUUUGUCGCGUCUGCCGUGAAAGUCCGAGGCUCAACCUCGGAUCUGCGGUGGGUACGGGCAGACUAGAGUGAUGUAGGGGAGACUGGAAUUCCUGGUGUAGCGGUGAAAUGCGCAGAUAUCAGGAGGAACACCGAUGGCGAAGGCAGGUCUCUGGGCAUUUACUGACGCUGAGGAGCGAAAGCAUGGGGAGCGAACAGGAUUAGAUACCCUGGUAGUCCAUGCCUAAACGUUGGGCACUAGGUGUGGGGACAUCCACGUUUCCGC